Molecule: non-coding RNA, 382 nt
Organism: Pantherophis guttatus
Lineage: Eukaryota; Metazoa; Chordata; Lepidosauria; Squamata; Colubridae
Source: RefSeq, a predicted model, not a curated record
GUGAUUUAAUAUCCUAACCACUCUGUCUCUGUUUUUUUUUCUCUCUCUCUUCCAGAGCCGUUUCUUUAAAUGAAUGGAUAUAAACCAGACAGGUGGUUUUUUUUUUUCCCACGGUCUAAGGCUGGGCCAGAUUCACCUAAUUGCUUUGGUGGCUGGAGAAUUCUGGGAGUUGAAGUCCACACCCCUUAAAAGUUGCUAAGGAAAGGUACAGUGGCCAUUCAAAUCCCAAACCGUUUGAAAUGAAAUCGACCUCAAAGCAAAUCAGAUAACAACCUGCUUGAAAUGCUCGAAAGAAAAUGAGAAUAAUCUCGACGAAACGAUUUAAUGCCCCAGGAUUUGCUGGAUACGUGGUUAAAAAAAAAAAAAAGAGGAAAGCAAAACC